Molecule: transfer RNA, 68 nt
Filed under: Marmota monax (woodchuck)
Lineage: Eukaryota; Metazoa; Chordata; Mammalia; Rodentia; Sciuridae
Description: tRNA.Ala
Source: RNAcentral
GUUGUGGCUCAGUGUUAGAGUGCUUGCCUCGCACAUAUGAGGCAUUGGGUUCGAUCCUCAGCACGACA